AUACGGAGGUUGCGAGCGUUGUUCGGAAUUACUGGGCGUAAAGGGAGCGCAGGCGGUCCGGUAAGUCUAAAGUGAAAGCCCGGGGCUUAACCUCGGAAGUGCUUUAGAUACUGCCGGUCUUGAGUUCGUGAGAGGAGAGCGGAAUUCCAGGUGUAGCGGUGAAAUGCGUAGAUAUCUGGAGGAACACCGGUGGCGAAAGCGGCUCUCUAGCACGACACUGACGCUGAGGCUCGAAAGCAUGGGUAGCGAACAGGAUUAGAUACCCUGGUAGUCCAUGCCAUAAACGUUGUGCACUAGGUGUGGGAGGUAUCGACCCCUUCCGUGCCGCAGCUAACGCAUUAAGUGCACCGCCUGGGGAGUACGGUCGCAAGACUGAA
RNAcentral lists this ribosomal RNA (377 nucleotides) under uncultured bacterium. RNAcentral describes it as "bacterial SSU rRNA". It matches the Rfam family "Bacterial small subunit ribosomal RNA", at positions 523 to 898 of the family's 1533-position model. The record is from RNAcentral.